Molecule: non-coding RNA, 29 nt
Filed under: Homo sapiens (human)
Lineage: Eukaryota; Metazoa; Chordata; Mammalia; Primates; Hominidae
Source: RNAcentral
UGGACAGAAGUUUCUGCAGGCACAGGUGG